CCUACGGGAGGCUGCAGUGGGGAAUAUUGGACAAUGGGGGGAACCCUGAUCCAGCCAUGCCGCGUGUGUGAAGAAGGCCCUCGGGUUGUAAAGCACUUUCAGUGAGGAAGAACGCCUGGUGGUUAAUACCCAUCAGGAAAGACAUCACUCACAGAAGAAGCACCGGCUAACUCCGUGCCAGCAGCCGCGGUAAUACGGAGGGUGCGAGCGUUAAUCGGAAUUACUGGGCGUAAAGCGCGCGUACGUGGCUUGAUAAGCCGGUUGUGAAAGCCCCGGGCUCAACCUGGGAACGGCAUCCGGAACUGUCAAGCUAGAGUGCAGGAGAGGAAGGUAGAAUUCCCGGUGUAGCGGUGAAAUGCGUAGAGAUCGGGAGGAAUACCAGUGGCGAAGGCGGCCUUCUGGACUGACACUGACACUGAGGUGCGAAAGCGUGGGUAGCAAACAGGAUUAGAUACCCCAGUAGUC
Molecule: ribosomal RNA, 465 nt
Filed under: Vreelandella stevensii
Lineage: Bacteria; Pseudomonadati; Pseudomonadota; Gammaproteobacteria; Oceanospirillales; Halomonadaceae
Description: partial 16S ribosomal RNA
Rfam family: Bacterial small subunit ribosomal RNA
Source: RNAcentral